Molecule: non-coding RNA, 551 nt
Organism: Gopherus evgoodei (Goodes thornscrub tortoise)
Lineage: Eukaryota; Metazoa; Chordata; Testudines; Testudinidae
Source: the annotation of a RefSeq genome assembly
GCCAAAGCCACCGUGGGCAGCGUCCUGUAUUCACCCGUCAUUGUGGUGACUUUCGCCCCUGAAGAUCUAGAAACAACAUAUUUAACCAUGAAGGCUCCAGAAAUCCUGCUUUGGACAGCAACAGCAUUUCUAUCUUUGAGUGCGGUGGUGGGUGACUCGAUCCAGUCCAGUGAACCCGAGGUGUCCAGGUCAGAAGGAGACACCGUGACCCUCAGCUGUUCCUACGAUACCAGCUACACUGGCGCUGUCUAUCUCUACUGGUACCGUCAGUAUCCGAACCGAGCCCCGCAGUACAUCCUCCUGAGAGGAGCAAAAGGAAGCACGUUCAGUGACACUGCACAUUUCGCCCAGGAGAGGUUUUCUUCCCAGUCCGAUGACAGCUCCACAGUUCUGAACAUCUCAGCCCUGGAGCUGGCAGACACAGCGGUGUACCUCUGCGCCCUUCGUCUGGCACAGUGACAGAGCCUCACAGCAGAGCUGUACAAAAACCUCCCAGCCCUGCUGCAGGGGAUGGUACAGGCAUUAAAACGGGCUGCAGCACCUCGAAAAAG